GGCUCUAUGAUGAUUUUCAGUCAAACAUUCUUUAAAGUAUCUGAACAAAAUAGUGAAAACUCAGUAACACUACUCUCAUCAGGACCAAGGUCC
Small nucleolar RNA from Arvicanthis niloticus (Nile rat), 93 nucleotides. RefSeq annotates it as small nucleolar RNA SNORD116. The record is from RefSeq and is a predicted model, not a curated record. Lineage: Eukaryota; Metazoa; Chordata; Mammalia; Rodentia; Muridae.